UGCGCAGGCGGUUAUGCAAGACAGGUGUGAAAUCCCCGGGCUCAACCUGGGAACUGCACUUGUGACUGCAUGACUAGAGUGCGUCAGAGGGAGGUGGAAUUCCGCGUGUAGCAGUGAAAUGCGUAGAGAUGCGGAGGAACACCGAUGGCGAAGGCAGCCUCCUGGGAUGACACUGACGCUCAUGCACGAAAGCGUGGGGAGCAAACAG
Molecule: ribosomal RNA, 208 nt
Filed under: uncultured beta proteobacterium
Lineage: Bacteria; Pseudomonadati; Pseudomonadota; Betaproteobacteria
Also listed under: 1 other name
Description: partial 16S ribosomal RNA
Rfam family: Bacterial small subunit ribosomal RNA
Source: RNAcentral